AGAGUUUGAUCCUGGUUCAGGACUAACGCUAGCGGCGUGUCUUAGCCAUGCAAGUCGCACGGGCUUAUAGCAAUAUAAGUCAGUGGCAAACGGGUGAGUAACACGUGGGUAAUCUACCUUUAGGUGUCGCAUAACAGGGGGAAACUCUUGCUAAUUCGACAUAAUAUCCUUUUUGCAUAUGCAGAGAGGAUCAAAGCGGGGGACCGUAAGGCCUCGCGCCAAAAGAUGAGCCCGCGGCCCAUUAGCUAGUUGGCGGGGUAACGGCCCACCAAGGCUUCGAUGGGUAGCCGGCCUGAGAGGGUAACCGGCCACAUUGGAACUGAGACACGGUCCAGACUCCUACGGGAGGCAGCAGGCUAGAAAAUUGGGCAAUGGGCGCAAGCCUGACCCAGUGACGCCGCGUGAAUGAUGACGGCCUUCGGGUUGUAAAGUUCUUUAGACAGGGAAGAUGGGGUGUAAUGCUAACAUCAUUGCACCUUGACGUUGUACCUGUAGAAUAAGCUCCGGCUAACUCCGUGCCAGCAGCCGCGGUAAUAC
Molecule: ribosomal RNA, 537 nt
Filed under: uncultured bacterium
Lineage: Bacteria
Description: bacterial SSU rRNA
Rfam family: Bacterial small subunit ribosomal RNA
Source: RNAcentral